Mercurialis annua (annual mercury) is the source of this 663-nucleotide long non-coding RNA. RefSeq lists it as uncharacterized. Lineage: Eukaryota; Viridiplantae; Streptophyta; Magnoliopsida; Malpighiales; Euphorbiaceae. The record is from RefSeq and is a predicted model, not a curated record. The transcript has 4 exons.
GAAAGAAUGAAAGAUUGAAGGAUUGAGCUUUGAAGGGUGCAAAACUUAAGCAUUUAAGUGGACCUUUUUCCCCACAAGGCUAAUGAACUAAGGACACAUAUCCCUCCACCCCUUCAAAUAUCUCUAGCAAGCUAAUUAAGAUGAAAUUCAGAAAAUAAAGAAGAGAAGAUACCAAAAUCUAUCCAUUUUUGCUAAGAAAUGCAAAAUCCUCUUCCUCCAAGCCAAGCUCAUGAUUUUCUCAUCCAAAUUCAAUAAACUUGGAGGCAAAAUGAUCACAAGAUCAUAAGGAAGUAAGGAUUUGAAGCUUGGAUCUUGGAGAAUUUAUGGAGGAUAUGAUUCGGUUAUCUAGACAACAUAUCAAGCUUGAGACCCGACGAGACGAUUAUCGACAAGGCACGGAAUUUGAAAGAUCGUGAUAUCGCUUAGCCGUUUUAAAGAUUAUGGAUAGCAAGUGGGAUAGCAUGAUAUUAUUUGGAAAGUCAAGCUUCCGAAGUUCUAAUUCUCGGAAGUCAUUUGCACAAAAAGUGAAAGAAGGUUUUCAUUCUAGCAGUCCGCAGUAGUCUAGAUGUUUUUGUCUAUGUAUUUGACUAGCGCAUUUUAACUCUGAUAUUUUUGUAAAAUAGGGUCACAUGUAUUUUGAUAUAUGAAAAAAAUGAUUUGAUU